RNAcentral lists this long non-coding RNA (908 nucleotides) under Homo sapiens (human). Its description in RNAcentral is "HSALNT0015659". Lineage: Eukaryota; Metazoa; Chordata; Mammalia; Primates; Hominidae. The record is from RNAcentral.
CGCGGGGCGGGGCUCCAGAGCCGCAGGUCUGGGCUGCACUCGGACCUCAGGCACAUGCGAAUGACCCGGAGUGUGGACAACGUCCAGUUCCUGCCCUUUCUCACCACGGAAGUCAAGCUAAGGUGAUUCAAACUAAAUCAACCCAAUGUCUCUCCUACCCACUCACCAUUGCUACCCUUCUCACCUCUGCCUCCUGGUGCCUCUAUGGGUUUCGACUCAGAGAUCCCUAUAUCAUGGUGUCCAACUUUCCAGGAAUCGUCACCAGCUUUAUCCGCUUCUGGCUUUUCUGGAAGUACCCCCAGGAGCAAGACAGGAACUACUGGCUCCUGCAAACCUGAGGCUGCUCAUCUGACCACUGGGCACCUUAGUGCCAACCUGAACCAAAGAGACCUCCUUGUUUCAGCUGGGCCUGCUGUCCAGCUUCCCAGGUGCAGUGGGUUGUGGGAACAAGAGAUGACUUUGAGGAUAAAAGGACCAAAGAAAAAGCUUUACUUAGAUGAUUGAUUGGGGCCUAGGAGAUGAAAUCACUUUUUAUUUUUUAGAGAUUUUUUUUUUUAAUUUUGGAGGUUGGGGUGCAAUCUUUAGAAUAUGCCUUAAAAGGCCGGGCGCGGUGGCUCACGCCUGUAAUCCCAGCACUUUGGGAGGCCAAGGUGGGCGGAUCGCCUGAGGUCAGGAGUUCAAGACCAACCUGACUAACAUGGUGAAACCCCAUCUCUACUAAAAAUACAAAAUUAGCCAGGCAUGAUGGCACAUGCCUGUAAUCCCAGAUACUUGGGAGGCUGAGGCAGGAGAAUUGCUUGAACCCAGGAGGUGGAGGUUGCAGUGAGCUGAGAUCGUGCCAUUGUGAUAUGAAUAUGCCUUAUAUGCUGAUAUGAAUAUGCCUUAAAAUAAAGUGUUCCCCACCCCUG